RNAcentral lists this ribosomal RNA (422 nucleotides) under uncultured bacterium. RNAcentral's name for it is "bacterial SSU rRNA". It matches the Rfam family "Bacterial small subunit ribosomal RNA", at positions 355 to 774 of the family's 1533-position model. The record is from RNAcentral.
UGAGGAAUAUUGGGCAAUGCCCGCAAGGGUGACCCAGCAACGCCGCGUGGAGGAUGAAUGUCGUAAGAUUGUAAACUCCUGUUAGAGGGGAAGAAUAGUACCGGUUGGACCGGUAUAUGACUGUACCCUCAGAGAAAGCCCCGGCUAACUACGUGCCAGCAGCCGCGGUAAUACGUAGGGGGCAAGCGUUGUCCGGAUUUACUGGGUGUAAAGGGCGCGCAGGCGGGAUAAAAAGUCAGUGGUGAAAUCCUACAGCUUAACUGUAGAACUGCCUUUUAUACUUUGAUUCUUGAGUUCGGGAGAGAGAGACGGAAUUCCAGGUGUAGUGGUGAAAUACGUAGAUAUCUGGAAGAACACCAGUUGCGAAGGCGGUCUCUUGGUCCGACACUGACGCUGAGGCGCGAAAGCGUGGGGAGCAAACA